GAACGCUGAAGCCCUGGUGCUUGCACCGGGGUGGAUGAGUGGCGACGGGUGAGUAACACGUGAGUAACCUGCCCCCGACUUCGGGAUAAGCCCGGGAAACUGGGUCUAAUACCGGAUAUGACSYSRMWSGCAUSWKUGRUKGUGGAAAGUUUUUUCGGUUGGGGAUGGGCUCGCGGCCUAUCAGUUUGUUGGUGAGGUAAUGCUCACCAAGACGACGACGGGUAGCCGGCCUGAGAGGGCGACCGGCCACACUGGGACUGAGACACGGCCCAGACUCCUACGGAGGCAGCAGUGGGGAAUAUUGCACAAUGGGGGAAACCCUGAUGCAGCGACGCAGCGUGCGGGAUGACGGCCUUCGGGUGUAAACCGCUUUCAGCAGGGAAGAAGCCYUUCGGGGUGACGGUACCUGCAGAAGAAGUACCGGCUAACUACGUGCCAGAGCCGCGGUAAUACGUAGGGUACAAGCGUUGUCCGGAAUUAUUGGGCGUAAAGAGCUCGUAGGUGGUUGGUCACGUCUGUGUGGAAACGCAACGCUUAACGUUGCGCGUGCAGUGGGUACGGGCUGACUAGAGUGCAGUAGGGGAGUCUGGAAUUCCUGUGUAGCGGUGAAAUGCGCAGAUAUCAGGAGGAA
Molecule: ribosomal RNA, 631 nt
Filed under: Brevibacterium linens
Lineage: Bacteria; Bacillati; Actinomycetota; Actinomycetes; Micrococcales; Brevibacteriaceae
Description: partial 16S ribosomal RNA
Rfam family: Bacterial small subunit ribosomal RNA
Source: RNAcentral